RNAcentral lists this ribosomal RNA (1516 nucleotides) under uncultured Bacillota bacterium. RNAcentral describes it as "uncultured Firmicutes bacterium 16S ribosomal RNA". It matches the Rfam family "Bacterial small subunit ribosomal RNA". Lineage: Bacteria; Bacillati; Bacillota. The record is from RNAcentral.
AGGGUUUGAUCAUGGCUCAGGACGAACGCUGGCGGCGUGCCUAAUACAUGCAAGUCGCAGCGAAUCUUUUGGGAGCUUGCUCCCAAAAGAUUAGCGGCGGACGGGUGAGUAACACGUGGGCAACCUGCCUAUAAGACUGGGAUAACUUCGGGAAACCGGAGCUAAUACCGGAUACGUUCUUUUCUCGCAUGAGAGAAGAUGGAAAGACGGCUUUUAGCUGUCACUUAUAGAUGGGCCCGCGGCGCAUUAGCUAGUUGGUGGGGUAAUGGCUCACCAAGGCGACGAUGCGUAGCCGACCUGAGAGGGUGAUCGGCCACACUGGGACUGAGACACGGCCCAGACUCCUACGGGAGGCAGCAGUAGGGAAUCUUCCGCAAUGGACGAAAGUCUGACGGAGCAACGCCGCGUGAACGAAGAAGGCCUUCGGGUCGUAAGGUUCUGUUGUUAGGGAAGAACAAGUACCAGAGUAACUGCUGGUACCUUGACGGUACCUAACCAGAAAGCCACGGCUAACUACGUGCCAGCAGCCGCGGUAAUACGUAGGUGGCAAGCGUUGUCCGGAAUUAUUGGGCGUAAAGCGCGCGCAGGUGGUUCCUUAAGUCUGAUGUGAAAGCCCACGGCUCAACCGUGGAGGGUCAUUGGAAACUGGGGAACUUGNAGUGCCGAAGAGGAAAGUGGAAUUCCAAGUGUAGCGGUGAAAUGCGUAGAGAUUUGGAGGAACACCAGUGGCGAAGGCGNCUUUCUGGUCUGUAACUGACNCUGAGGCGCGAAAGCUGGGGAGCAACCAGGAUUAGAUACCCUGGUAGUCCACGCCGUAAACGUGAGUGCUAAGUGUUAGAGGGUUUCCGCCCUUAGUGCUGCAGCUAACGCAUUAAGCACUCCGCCUGGGGAGUACGACCGCAAGGUUGAAACUCAAAGGAAUUGACGGGGGCCCGCACAAGCGGUGGAGCAUGUGGUUUAAUUCGAAGCAACGCGAAGAACCUUACCAGGUCUUGACAUCCUCUGACAAUCCUAGAGAUAGGACGUUCCCCUUCGGGGGACAGAGUGACAGGUGGUGCAUGGUUGUCGUCAGCUCGUGUCGUGAGAUGUUGGGUUAAGUCCCGCAACGAGCGCAACCCUUGAUCUUAGUUGCCAGCAUUCAGUUGGGCACUCUAAGGUGACUGCCGGUGACAAACCGGAGGAAGGUGGGGAUGACGUCAAAUCAUCAUGCCCCUUAUGACCUGGGCUACACACGUGCUACAAUGGAUGGUACAAAGGGCUGCAAACCUGCGAAGGUAAGCGAAUCCCAUAAAGCCAUUCUCAGUUCGGAUUGUAGGCUGCAACUCGCCUACAUGAAGCCGGAAUCGCUAGUAAUCGCGGAUCAGCAUGCCGCGGUGAAUACGUUCCCGGGCCUUGUACACACCGCCCGUCACACCACGAGAGUUUGUAACACCCGAAGUCGGUGAGGUAACCUUUAUGGAGCCAGCCGCCUAAGGUGGGACAGAUGAUUGGGGUGAAGUCGUAAGCCAAGGUAGCC